This 307-nucleotide ribosomal RNA is filed under the name uncultured eukaryote. RNAcentral describes it as "partial 18S ribosomal RNA". It matches the Rfam family "Eukaryotic small subunit ribosomal RNA", at positions 1470 to 1796 of the family's 1831-position model. The record is from RNAcentral.
CCCUUAGACGUUCUGGGCCGCACGCGCGCUACACUGACGAAGGCAGCGAGCUACUCUUCACCGAAAGGUGUGGGUAAUCUUUUGAAACUUCGUCGUGCUGGGGAUAGAUCCUUGCAAUUUUUGAUCUUAAACGAGGAAUUCCUAGUAAGCGCAAGUCAUCAACUUGCGUUGAUUACGUCCCUGCCCUUUGUACACACCGCCCGUCGCUACUACCGAUUGAAUGGUUUAGUGAGGCCUUCGGAUCCGCGAUUUUAUUGUGGAGAAGUUGGACAAACUCAGUCAUUUAGAGGAAGUAAAAGUCGUAACA